RNAcentral lists this transfer RNA (90 nucleotides) under Methylophilaceae bacterium. RNAcentral's name for it is "tRNA-Ser". It matches the Rfam family "tRNA". Rfam says of the family: Transfer RNA (tRNA) molecules are approximately 80 nucleotides in length. Their secondary structure includes four short double-helical elements and three loops (D, anti-codon, and T loops). Further hydrogen bonds mediate the characteristic L-shaped molecular structure. tRNAs have two regions of fundamental functional importance: the anti-codon, which is responsible for specific mRNA codon recognition, and the 3' end, to which the tRNAs corresponding amino acid is attached (by aminoacyl-tRNA synthetases). tRNAs cope with the degeneracy of the genetic code in two manners: having more than one tRNA (with a specific anti-codon) for a particular amino acid; and 'wobble' base-pairing, i.e. permitting non-standard base-pairing at the 3rd anti-codon position. The record is from RNAcentral. Lineage: Bacteria; Pseudomonadati; Pseudomonadota; Betaproteobacteria; Nitrosomonadales; Methylophilaceae.
GGAGAGCUGGAUGAGCGGUUUAAGUCACUACCCUGGAAAGGUAGCAUAGGGGCAACUUUAUCGAGGGUUCGAAUCCCUCGCUCUCCGCCA